This 732-nucleotide ribosomal RNA is filed under the name uncultured Corynebacterium sp. Its description in RNAcentral is "bacterial SSU rRNA". It matches the Rfam family "Bacterial small subunit ribosomal RNA", at positions 28 to 776 of the family's 1533-position model. The record is from RNAcentral. Lineage: Bacteria; Bacillati; Actinomycetota; Actinomycetes; Mycobacteriales; Corynebacteriaceae.
GACGAACGCUGGCGGCGUGCUUAACACAUGCAAGUCGAACGGAAAGGCCUCUUCGGAGGUACUCGAGUGGCGAACGGGUGAGUAACACGUGGGUGAUCUGCCCUGCACUCUGGGAUAAGCCUGGGAAACUGGGUCUAAUACCGGAUAGGACCAUGCUUUAGUGUGUGUGGUGGAAAGUUUUUUCGGUGUAGGAUGAGCCCGCGGCCUAUCAGCUUGUUGGUGGGGUAAUGGCCUACCAAGGCGGCGACGGGUAGCCGGACUGAGAGGUUGGUCGGCCACAUUGGGACUGAGAUACGGCCCAGACUCCUACGGGAGGCAGCAGUGGGGAAUAUUGCACAAUGGGCGCAAGCCUGAUGCAGCGACGCCGCGUGGGGGAUGACGGCCUUCGGGUUGUAAACUCCUUUCGCCAGGGACGAAGCGUUUUGUGACGGUACCUGGAGAAGAAGCACCGGCUAACUACGUGCCAGCAGCCGCGGUAAUACGUAGGGUGCAAGCGUUGUCCGGAAUUACUGGGCGUAAAGAGCUCGUAGGUGGUUUGUCACGUCGUCUGUGAAAUUCCACAGCUUAACUGUGGGCGUGCAGGCGAUACGGGCUGACUUGAGUACUGUAGGGGUAACUGGAAUUCCUGGUGUAGCGGUGAAAUGCGCAGAUAUCAGGAGGAACACCGAUGGCGAAGGCAGGUUACUGGGCAGUUACUGACGCUGAGGAGCGAAAGCAUGGGUAGCAAACAGG